UCGCAUUAGGGAUUGUAGCGGUAGCCCACAGCCUGACGAAGGAAGUGCGAGGACUACAAGCGCAAAGCCCGACCCGAC
RNAcentral lists this unclassified non-coding RNA (78 nucleotides) under Flavobacterium psychrophilum DSM 3660 = ATCC 49418. Its description in RNAcentral is "Flavo-1 RNA". Lineage: Bacteria; Pseudomonadati; Bacteroidota; Flavobacteriia; Flavobacteriales; Flavobacteriaceae. The record is from RNAcentral.